GUUGAACGCUGGCGGCAUGCCUUACACAUGCAAGUCGAACGGAUUCAAGGGGCUUGCUCCUUGAGUUAGUGGCGAACGGGUGAGUAAUGCAUCGGAACGUACCCAGUUGUGGGGGAUAACGUAGCGAAAGUUACGCUAAUACCGCAUACGACCUGAGGGUGAAAGCGGGGGAUCGCAAGACCUCGCGCAACUGGAGCUGCCGAUGUCAGAUUAGCUAGUUGGUAGGGUAAAAGCCUACCAAGGCGACGAUCUGUAGCUGGUCUGAGAGGACGACCAGCCACACUGGGACUGAGACACGGCCCAGACUCCUACGGGAGGCAGCAGUGGGGAAUUUUGGACAAUGGGGGAAACCCUGAUCCAGCCAUGCCGCGUGAGUGAAGAAGGCCUUCGGGUUGUAAAGCUCUUUCGGACAGAAAGAAAUCUUUUGGGCUAAUACCCUGAGAGGAUGACGGUACUGUAAGAAGAAGCACCGGCUAACUACGUGCCAGCCGCCGCCGUAA
Molecule: ribosomal RNA, 500 nt
Filed under: uncultured bacterium
Lineage: Bacteria
Description: partial 16S ribosomal RNA
Rfam family: Bacterial small subunit ribosomal RNA
Source: RNAcentral